RNAcentral lists this non-coding RNA (29 nucleotides) under Mus musculus (house mouse). The record is from RNAcentral. Lineage: Eukaryota; Metazoa; Chordata; Mammalia; Rodentia; Muridae.
UGACUUGUCUAGCUUGCACCCGCACUCCU